AUGGAUUUGAAAGGCAGAGCAAUGGGGAGUGGGGGGGAGAUAGAGAGAGAUCUUCUAUCUGCUGGUUGGAUGGGCAGGACAGGAGGCGGGGCUAUGGAGCAGGACUCCCAGGGGCUGGGCGCAGCAGUGGGGAGGGAGCAGUUCGUCCCAGCUCCUCUGGGUUUGUCCUGGACUUUCCGAGUUCUAGCACUAGGAGUCCCGCGUUCCUGGAAACCUCCCGGUCCCAGGCAUCUGUCACCCCUCACCCCCUGGGCUUGGGCUGGCAGCAGCCCUGGGGCCUCUGUCCAGGAUGGAGAACCAGGCUUCAGCCAGCUGAGGAGUCAGGACACCAGGCCGACGAUGGUCAAGGCUGGAGGGCGUUUUCAGACCCGUGCACAGAGAGAAUUUCCAUCCAGCUGGUUCCCCAAAUGCCCCAGCGGCCAGGGGUUAGGCUGAAGCCAAAAGCUUGGAACCGGGAACCCGAGCAAGGUGAGUGGCAGGGACUCAUCACGCAUGAGCCAUCAGCCCAGCCUCCCAGGGUGCACAGGGGCAGGAAGCUGGAGUCCGGAGCUGGAGCCCAGUAUCAAGCCCAGGUGCCCUGCUGUGGGAUGCGGUGUCCUAACCACUAGGCCCACCUUCUAUCCCUCCUUAGAUGGCUUUUAGCUCUAGGAUGUGUCUAAGGCCGUGCUUCUGACAGCGUGGUGCCUGCACCAGCGCACCACCAGGGAGCUUGCGCCCCAGACCCACCGCAUCAGAAGCACUGUGUUUUAGCAAGCCUUACAGCCGAUUCUGGUGAGGGCCAAGUUUAAGAAUCACCACUCAGGGCUGGCACUGUGGUGUAGCGGAUAAAGCCACUGCCUACAGUGCCGGCAUCCCAUAUGGGCACUGGUUUGAGACCUGGCUGUUCCACUUCCGAUCCAGCUCUCCACAAAUUUUUAAAGGGUGUUCGCAGCGAACUAGUAAGGAUGCAGCCCUGUCAUCUGUCGCCACCUCCCCGCUCCCUGCCAGGAUUGCACAAAGAUACUACAUUCACAGGUGGGCUCAGGACAGCUCCUCUGAAGCCUUGGGAAAAGAAGGGGGAAUGAGGGGCCUGUGCUGUGGUGUAGCGGGUAAAGCCGCCGCCUGCAGUGCUGGCAUCCCAUGUGGGCGCCAGUUCAAGUCCUGGCUGCUCCACUUCUGAUCUAGCUCUCUGCCAUGGCCUGGGAAAGCAGUGGAAAAUGACCCAAGUUCUUGGGCCUCUGCACCUGCACGGGAGACCUGGAAGAAGCUCCUGUCUCCUGGCUUUGGAUUGGCGCAGCUCCGGCCAUUGCGGCCAAUUGGGGAGUGAACCAGCGGAUGGAAGACACCCCCCCCCCAGCUGCCUCUCCUUCUCUCUCUGUGUAACUGUGACUUUCAAAUAAAUAAGUAAAUCUUAAAAAAAAAAAAAAAGAA
RNAcentral lists this long non-coding RNA (1410 nucleotides) under Oryctolagus cuniculus (rabbit). Its description in RNAcentral is "lncRNA (ENSOCUG00000030957.1)". The record is from RNAcentral. Lineage: Eukaryota; Metazoa; Chordata; Mammalia; Lagomorpha; Leporidae.